UGUGUGGUGGUAAACGGAGGGGUUCUCGAAGUUUCUGUGGGGAACUCAGCCUUGGUGUCGCGCGGCCCUGUUGUAUCCGAUCAGCAAUGACGGUGCGGUUUGGCUUGCGUGUCUCUCGGGUGCAUUUCCCCCGCAGUUUACGGCAGGAACUGUUUGGAGCUCACCGAAGGCCCUGGGUGAAGUUGUUGGUUCUGCUAGCAGCCCCGGGUGUCCUGGCUUAGCACCAGACAGGUACGUGAGAGGACUCGUAUAGCGAGCAAUGCUCUGUUGCGGUUCUCAUCUCUCUGCCGAGUAGGUCGGCG
Molecule: ribosomal RNA, 302 nt
Filed under: Calanus propinquus
Lineage: Eukaryota; Metazoa; Arthropoda; Copepoda; Calanoida; Calanidae
Description: partial 28S ribosomal RNA
Source: RNAcentral